RNAcentral lists this ribosomal RNA (253 nucleotides) under uncultured bacterium. RNAcentral describes it as "partial 16S ribosomal RNA". It matches the Rfam family "Bacterial small subunit ribosomal RNA", at positions 524 to 776 of the family's 1533-position model. The record is from RNAcentral.
UACGUAGGGUGCGAGCGUUGUCCGGAAUUACUGGGCGUAAAGAGCUCGUAGGCGGCUUGUCGCGUUGUUCGUGAAAAUUUACCGCUCAACGGUGAACUUGCGGGCGAUACGGGCAGGCUAGAGUACUGCAGGGGAGACUGGAAUUCCUGGUGUAGCGGUGAAAUGCGCAGAUAUCAGGAGGAACACCGGUGGCGAAGGCGGGUCUCUGGGCAGUAACUGACGCUAAGGAGCGAAAGCGUGGGGAGCAAACAGG